Quercus robur (English oak) is the source of this 627-nucleotide long non-coding RNA. RefSeq lists it as uncharacterized. The transcript has 2 exons. NCBI's taxonomy places the organism in Eukaryota, Viridiplantae, Streptophyta, Magnoliopsida, Fagales, Fagaceae. The record is from RefSeq and is a predicted model, not a curated record.
UCUCUCUCUCUCUCUCUCUCUCUCUCUCUCUCUCUCUCUCUCUCUCUUCCUCUCUCUCUCUCUCUCUCUCUCUCUCUGUUUGUGUAUCUCUGUGUUUGUGUGGAGCUGGUGGGAAUGCAUUCAGGGCCAAUCACUAGGCCUUUGCAGCUUCAAAAAGGAUGAAAUCAAAAAUAUUAAAAGCUUUGUCAAGCUCUCCACUAAUAAGAACUUUCUCAUCCAAGUGAAAGCAAUAAAGUUGGACACCCCUGCAGAACCGCGCUAUAAGUUCAACAUCGUUGCCAUUCAUGAUCCACCUCAAGAAAAUCCAUGAAAAUGAAUGUUCAAAAAGAACUAUGUAAUGCAAGACAUCUCCUUUUGGAACAGUGUAAAAAAAAAAAUAGGCACAUACAAAAGACAAAUAAAUACAUUAUUCAUAUAUAAUGUAUCACUUUGUCUUUUCAUAUGACUAAAUGAAGUCAUCAAAACAUUACCUCAUUUUUGUUACUCCAUUAUGUGCCUAUUAUUAGAAAUCAACAUUUUGGGUUUCUUUUUGCACAUCAUAUAUACUUAUCAUAUGGUGCUUUUAAAAGCGCAUGUAUAUAUUUGAAGUAUAAAAAUCAUAUAUACUUAUGAUAUUAUCCACAUGUA